UACGGGGGGAGCAAGCGUUGUUCGGAUUUACUGGGCGUAAAGGGCGGGUAGGCGGCCACCGCAAGUCAGUUGUAAAAUCUCUGGGCUUAACCCAGAAAGGUCAACUGAUACUGCGGGGCUAGAGUGCAGAAGGGGCAACUGGAAUUCUCGGUGUAGCGGUGAAAUGCGUAGAUAUCGAGAGGAACACCUGCGGCGAAGGCGGGUUGCUGGGCUGACACUGACGCUGAACUGCGAAAGCUAGGGGAGCGAACGGG
RNAcentral lists this ribosomal RNA (254 nucleotides) under uncultured bacterium. RNAcentral describes it as "partial 16S ribosomal RNA". It matches the Rfam family "Bacterial small subunit ribosomal RNA", at positions 524 to 776 of the family's 1533-position model. The record is from RNAcentral.